Molecule: ribosomal RNA, 669 nt
Filed under: Triticum aestivum (bread wheat)
Lineage: Eukaryota; Viridiplantae; Streptophyta; Magnoliopsida; Poales; Poaceae
Description: partial small subunit ribosomal RNA
Source: RNAcentral
AUGGCGGACAAGGAGCCCGUCGUGGAGCGCCCCGUCGCGGAGGAGGAAGGCGAGGACUCCGCCGCCGCGGCCGCCGCCGGCGAGGAGGAGGACACCGGUGCCCAGGUCGCCCCCAUCGUGCGGCUCGAGGAGGUCGCCGUCACCACCGGCGAGGAGGACGAGGACUCUCUCCUCGACAUGAAGGCGAAGCUAUACAGGUUCGACAAGGACGGGAACCAGUGGAAGGAGAGGGGCACGGGCACCGUCAAGCUGCUCAAGCAUAAGGAGAACGGCAAGGUCCGCCUUGUUAUGCGCCAGGCCAAGACGCUUAAGAUCUGCGCCAACCACCUAGUGAUCUCGACCACGAAGAUGCAGGAACACGCCGGCAGCGACAAGUCCUGUGUCUGGCACGCGGCAGACUUUGCUGACGGAGAGCUUAAGGAUGAGAUGUUUGCCAUCCGGUUUGGCACCGUGGAGAAUUGCAAGAAGUUUAAGGACUUGGUUGACGAGAUCGCUGAGUCGCUUGCAAAGAAUGAGGGCGGUGAAAGCGAAGAAGGUUCUUCUGCGGCCGGACUGCUGGAGAAACUUAGUGUAAGCGAAAGCAAACCUGAGGAAAGUGCAGCUAAGGAGGAAUCGACUGAUGCUAGCAAGGAGACAGAAACCAAAGCCGCAACAGCCCCCUCAGAGUAG